Molecule: ribosomal RNA, 207 nt
Filed under: uncultured bacterium
Lineage: Bacteria
Description: partial 16S ribosomal RNA
Rfam family: Bacterial small subunit ribosomal RNA
Source: RNAcentral
AGCGCAGGCGGAUAGGUCAGUCUAAAGUGGAAUCCCGGGGCUCAACCUCGGAACUGCUUCGGAUACUGCCUGUCUUGAGUUCGUGAGAGGAAAGCGGAAUUCAGGGUGUAGCGGUGAAAUGCUUAGACAUCCUGAGGAACACCAAUGGCGAAGGCAGCUUUCUGGCGCGAUACUGACGCUGAGGCUCGAAAGCGUGGGGAGCGAACG